GGGUGUGAUCAGGAAGACUCGUAUUUGGCUUGUUCAGUACUCAAAAGUUUACCAUCCUACCCUUGUGCAAGCCUAAGGUGACAGAGGUGACUGUGGCAAGGAAAAACUCCCUUAGAUGGUAUGAGGAAGAAACCUUGAGAGGAACCAGAGAACCUAUUCUCAUUUGGGUGACACCGGACAUGAACAAUGUCCUUUCUGCAUUUAUGUAUAGUCAAUUGUGUGAUGUAGAAUGUUAUUGUGUGUAUUAAUUAAGAGGUGGUUGUCGUCCUCAAAGUCCACAUAGGGAUGGCAGCAUUGCUUUGAAUACCCAAGUCCUCAUGAAGCAGAACCAAGUUGGAGCUGGUCCAUCUCUGGAUGCCUUGGGAUCCUUGCAAGGUUGGCCUCUGUCUACUGAAGCUGGCACAAUCUCUAUAUGCCUCAGGAUGAGUAGUCCAAGACCAACGGCCAGACAGAGAUGAUCAAUCAGGAGCUCAAAACUGGACUCUGAAUUCUUUGUGCCGAGGACCCCUCAUCCUGGACUAUUUCUGGGUUGAGUAUGCCCACAAAUUCCUGCCAUCCUCUGCCACAGGCCUGUUCCCAUUCCAAGCAGUUUAUGGCUCUGUUUACUCACUAGGAGCUGGAGGCCUCAGUUCUUUCUGCCCUCACUCUAAUCAAAUGCUGUUGAUGUGUCUGGAGAAGGUCCCGAAUCACACUGCUCAAGUCAUCCCAAAGCUAUGCUUGCUUGGCCAGUCACAGUCCUGCUCCCCCUUUCUGCAUCAGCAAAAGAGUCUGGCUGCCCACCAAUGACUUACCCCUCAGGAUCGCUUGACGGUAGCUGGCUCCUCACUUAGUUGGGCCAUUCCAUAUAUCCAAGAAACCCAGAGCCUUCAGAUUCCACCCAGUCUUCCAUGUUUCCUGCUUCACUACAAGCCUGUUCCCAGGUUCCUGCCUCCAGUCCCCCUCCAUUAGCCUGGUUCGUUGAUGGUGGUCCUGCCUAUACUGUGUGCCACCUUCUCUGCUCUAGAUGCCACGGGUCGUAGGUAUGCGGCGGUGUUCUGUUAGAUGGAAGCUGGUGAUGCAGUGCUGCAUACUUUGAACUGGCUUCUAGUCUCAUCUGCAGCUUUCCACACAGAUUGCUGAGCUCCUGGCUGUGGAACGAUGGAGGUCUCACAAUCCACCCCGAGACUCCAUCAACGGAGUCUGAUCAUGUCAGCGGUGAUUCCCCUCCAGAAGUCCACUUCGUCCGCAGCCAGUACACUUUGCCUCGCCUCCAAGAGCUGAAAACACAAUUGUUACAUGUAAUAAGCAACAUGUACAUCAUUACAGUUUAUACUAAUGCAACAGAAAUAAGUAAAGCGAAUUUAUUUCUAAUCUGUCUUACUUGGA
Long non-coding RNA from Hemibagrus wyckioides, 1365 nucleotides. RefSeq lists it as uncharacterized. NCBI's taxonomy places the organism in Eukaryota, Metazoa, Chordata, Actinopteri, Siluriformes, Bagridae. The transcript is spliced from 3 exons. The record is from RefSeq and is a predicted model, not a curated record.